GAUGAAGAACGUAGCGAAAUGCGAUACUUGGUGUGAAUUGCAGAAUCCCGUGAGCCAUCGAGUCUUUGAACGCAAGUUGCGCCCGAAGCCACUAGGCCGAGGGCACGCCUGCCUGGGCGUCACACGCCGUUGCCCCCCCAUCUACUCCUUCGGGAUUGCGGGGGGGCGGAUGAUGGCCUCCUGUGCGCCUAGCCGCGCGGUUGGCAUAAAUACCAAGUCCUCGGCGACGCACGCCACGACAAUCGGUGGUUGCGAAACCUCGGUUGCCCGUCGUGUGCGUUCGUCGCGCAUCGAGGGCUCGAAAAAAUGCUCGGCUCCGGCUGGGCUUUCAACGCGACCCCAGGUCAGGCGGGGUUACCCGCUGAAUUUAAGCAUAUCAAUAAGCGGAGGA
Molecule: unclassified non-coding RNA, 391 nt
Filed under: soil metagenome
Description: partial contains 5.8S ribosomal RNA, internal transcribed spacer 2, and large subunit ribosomal RNA
Rfam family: 5.8S ribosomal RNA (bases 1-122)
Source: RNAcentral